RNAcentral lists this long non-coding RNA (2478 nucleotides) under Cottoperca gobio. Its description in RNAcentral is "lncRNA (ENSCGOG00000000882.1)". The record is from RNAcentral. Lineage: Eukaryota; Metazoa; Chordata; Actinopteri; Perciformes; Bovichtidae.
UCCGGGACAUUGAAACCUUCCAGGACACGUGGACCGGCACCAAUUUCUUUUUCUAACGGAAACCCUGCAUCAAACGUGCGGGUGUGUGGCCCAGUGGUCAGACGGCAGGCAGCCAGAGGUUUGGCUCGUUUGGAAGGACCAGCUCAGGCCUGAUUACUGGGCCGUCCUCGCAGGAGGAGUUCUCAAGUCCGAAAGAUUAGGAGCUCUUCCAGAAACCACAGUGAGAGGAGAGAACAUCAACAAAAAGGGCUUCGGUAAAACAUUUUUCAAUUUAGAUUGUAGUUGCAACUGAAAUAUUUAAUUGGCAAAGAAAGAAAGUGAUGCUCCAGUUCAGUUAUUCUGGAGAUCCAAUGAGAGCAGCACUUGGACCAUUGAGAAGAGACUGCUUUUCUCCUAAGCCCUGGCCUGAAGGAAGAGGAAAAAAACUUGUGACUGAACGGCAACAGAUUCAAGUUUCUAAGCAGCUGAGAAGAUGUGCUUGGAGCACUGAAUGCAGUGUCACUCUCUUUCCUCAACAACACUGCAGAUGACGUGUUGAGUUAGUCACAACCAGCAUCACUGUUUGAUUUUCAAAGGUUGUCUUAAAAAUAUAAAUAUGUUUUUAAAUUAUGCUUAAAAAUGGGAAGCACAUUCCCACAUUUUGUUUAUAUGGGAAUACAAUGUUGAGAGCAUGAAGGUGAUUGGCUGGACGGAGAAUAGAAGACAAGACCAGAGAGCAAUACGCACUAUACGGUUUUCACAAUAAAUUCAGACAUUUGUUAUUUUAAAAACAAACAUUAAAUCUCACAAAAACAAGUGGACAUUUUUUCUUAUUUCCUCUUUUACCGCUGCAAUAUUUAACCUUUUUCAAAUACAACCAUCUUGUAUAACACACAGCCUGGGCAAGUUUUGAGCAAAUGCUUAAAAAGUGCCGUUGUUUUAUAGAUUGUUGUUUACUAUAUAGAGAUGUCAAAUGUUUUUCAGUGAUGAUAGUAUCUGCCAUUUAUCCACUCCCGAAAAUGUAAGAUAUUGGGUGAAAUGCUUAUUUUGGCAAGGAAACUUCAAUGAAAGAAACACAGAGAGGGUUUUCCUCUCUAUUGUUUCACUUGUGAAUCACACGGUAUUGCAAUUAACUAUUGCAAUUGGUGUCUGAUAUGUACUUCCAAUAAAUGUAACAUUAACAAUCCCACUCAAUGGUAAAGUCAUGGUGUUCUUCAGCACAAGGCUUAUUCUCAAUUCCCUUAACCUUGAAUGGGGAACUUCCCCCCCUCUGGAGUCAGAUAAUGUUUGGUAAGAUUCCAUAUUUGAUUAUCACCAACAUUUAUUACCACCAUCUCCACAGCUUCAGUAUCUGCUGUGCAAUUCUUGUAUUCAGUGGUAGUGAAUAAGCCUUAUAGUAACACAUUCCACCCAUAAUAAUACAUGGAUGAAAAUGAAAAGAAAUCUAUUGUUUUUUAAAAUGUAAAUCACACUGGAACUUGUAAUUUUAACUAAAUUACCAACAUCAUACAUUAAUUUUAUAAUUACUAAAUCAACCGUUCACUUUGUCCUUUUAGCAACAGGCUACUUUUAGAAUGCCAUGUGUAAAAUAAAGCAUGCCGUUCAAGCUUUCAUCUGUGCACAGGGAGGACACAACACAAUGAAAGUAAUAAACACAUGCCACAUUACACAAAGAAUGGAUCUUUGUAAAAUAGUGAUUGUGUUUUGAAACUAUACCCUUCAAAUAAUCACAUUUCAAUUGCGCCAUAAGGAGGAAAAACAAUCUCUGGUGCCAUCAUGUGUCCUUGAUUCAGAUGACAGCUGAGGCUGGUUAAAAACAACUGGAGACUAACUGAGGUGGAUUAAACCACCAAUCAACACUCAUUUUUUGUAAUAAAUCACAUAUUGACACUCAGUACUGUGUGUGUUUGACUUGGUGUGGUAGCAGAGUGAAACCAGGCCUUCCUCAGCAGCAACUCCCUGCUCAUUUUUGAUCCUGGACUACUGCAAUUAUGGAUAAACAGGACAUUUUUUCAUAUAAACCAGUUUUGUUUGAGUUGAAUGUGUAUGUUUUCCAAUGCAGAGAACAUCCUGUCUGGCAUCAAGGAUUGCAUAUAUUAACUGUGAAUUGGUAUUGGAACAUUAGAAAUAAUAUGAGACUAUGUUUCUGUUACAGUUGAUGCUGUGGGGUAUGCAGAUCAAUCUGGCAUUUACUAAAUCUUCCCAGCAGCACAGAUCCUAAACCUAAAAAAUGCUGCCUUGAAUUUAGAACUAUUACAAUUUGAUUUGUCUUCAAAGACAAAUGAAAGUGGUAAACUAAUCAGUUCUAUAAUACACACACGAAAGACACAACUCUGCUGGUUCCAGAGUUCUGUCAACAUAUUUUAUAGUCCAUAAUGUUACAUUUUAAUUUUAAAUGAUUAGUUUCAAUCUGCUCUGGUUCCUCUUAAAUGUCACAUCGAAUGGCAAGCCCGUUGAGCUUUUUAAUCAGUAGUGGUUACAGCAAUUGUAGAUAUAAAC